GGUUUAAUUCGAUGAUACGCGAGGAACCUACCCGGGCUUGAAUUGCAGAGGAAGGAUUUGGAGACAAUGACGCCCUUCGGGGUCUCUGUGAAGGUGCUGCAUGGUUGUCGUCAGCUCGUGCCGUGAGGUGUCGGCUUAAGUGCCAUAACGAGCGCAACCCCUCUCCUUAGUUGCCAUCAGGUCAAGCUGGGCACUCUGGGGACACUGCCACCGUAAGGUGUGA
RNAcentral lists this ribosomal RNA (223 nucleotides) under uncultured bacterium. RNAcentral describes it as "partial 16S ribosomal RNA". It matches the Rfam family "Bacterial small subunit ribosomal RNA", at positions 943 to 1167 of the family's 1533-position model. The record is from RNAcentral.